Non-coding RNA from Jatropha curcas, 74 nucleotides. Lineage: Eukaryota; Viridiplantae; Streptophyta; Magnoliopsida; Malpighiales; Euphorbiaceae. The record is from Rfam.
GCAUCCAUGGCUAAACGGUUAAAGUACUCAACUCAUAAUUGACGAAUUCGUAGGUUCAAUUCCUACUGGAUGCA